RNAcentral lists this ribosomal RNA (253 nucleotides) under uncultured bacterium. RNAcentral's name for it is "partial 16S ribosomal RNA". It matches the Rfam family "Bacterial small subunit ribosomal RNA", at positions 524 to 776 of the family's 1533-position model. The record is from RNAcentral.
UACGUAGGGGGCUAGCGUUGUCCGGUUUUAUUAGGCGUAAAGAGCGUGUAGGCGGCCUGACAGGUCUGCUGUGAAAACUCGAGGCUCAACCUCGAGAUGUCGGCGGAAACCGUCUGGCUAGAGUCCGGAAGAGGAGAGUGGAAUUCCUGGUGUAGCGGUGAAAUGCGCAGAUAUCAGGAAGAACACCUAUGGCGAAGGCAGCUCUCUGGGACGGUACUGACGCUGAGACGCGAAAGCGUGGGGAGCGAACAGG